CCGGUAUAGCUCAGUUAGUAUAGCAGAGGACUGAAAAUCCUCGUAUUACCGGUUCAAAUCUGCUAUGAA
This 69-nucleotide transfer RNA is filed under the name Cucurbita moschata (crookneck pumpkin). Its description in RNAcentral is "tRNA-Phe". Lineage: Eukaryota; Viridiplantae; Streptophyta; Magnoliopsida; Cucurbitales; Cucurbitaceae. The record is from RNAcentral.